This 641-nucleotide ribosomal RNA is filed under the name Marinobacter gudaonensis. RNAcentral describes it as "bacterial SSU rRNA". It matches the Rfam family "Bacterial small subunit ribosomal RNA", at positions 78 to 715 of the family's 1533-position model. Lineage: Bacteria; Pseudomonadati; Pseudomonadota; Gammaproteobacteria; Pseudomonadales; Marinobacteraceae. The record is from RNAcentral.
GCUCCCCUGCUGACGAGCGGCGGACGGGUGAGUAAUGCAUAGGAAUCUGCCCAGUAGUGGGGGAUAGCCCGGGGAAACCCGGAUUAAUACCGCAUACGCCCUUUGGGGGAAAGCAGGGGAUCUUCGGACCUUGCGCUAUUGGAUGAGCCUAUGUCGGAUUAGCUAGUUGGUGGGGUAAAGGCCUACCAAGGCGACGAUCCGUAGCUGGUCUGAGAGGAUGAUCAGCCACAUCGGGACUGAGACACGGCCCGAACUCCUACGGGAGGCAGCAGUGGGGAAUAUUGGACAAUGGGGGCAACCCUGAUCCAGCCAUGCCGCGUGUGUGAAGAAGGCUUUCGGGUUGUAAAGCACUUUCAGUGAGGAGGAAAACCUUCUGGUUAAUACCCAUGAGGCUUGACGUUACUCACAGAAGAAGCACCGGCUAACUCCGUGCCAGCAGCCGCGGUAAUACGGAGGGUGCAAGCGUUAAUCGGAAUUACUGGGCGUAAAGCGCGCGUAGGUGGUUUGAUAAGCGAGAUGUGAAAGCCCCGGGCUUAACCUGGGAACGGCAUUUCGAACUGUCAGGCUAGAGUGUGGUAGAGGGUAGUGGAAUUUCCUGUGUAGCGGUGAAAUGCGUAGAUAUAGGAAGGGAACACCAGUGG